Molecule: unclassified non-coding RNA, 383 nt
Filed under: soil metagenome
Description: partial contains 5.8S ribosomal RNA, internal transcribed spacer 2, and large subunit ribosomal RNA
Rfam family: 5.8S ribosomal RNA (bases 1-120)
Source: RNAcentral
GAUGAAGAACGCAGCGAAAUGCGAUAAGUAAUGUGAAUUGCAGAAUUCAGUGAAUCAUCGAAUCUUUGAACGCACCUUGCACCCUUUGGCAUUCCGAAGGGUAUGCUCGUUUGAGUGUCAUUGUACUCUCACUCUCCCGAUGCUUUUGGAUCGGGAGUGGUGGACUUGGGUGUUGCUGCUUUGCUGUGGCUCGCCUCAAAUGGAGUAGUGCAACUCUUGGUUGGACAUAGUACGGCGUGAUAAGUGUCUUCGCCGGCGCCUCAUUAUAGAGGGUGGCCGAUCGGGAGCUCUGUGCUUCAAACCGUCUUCGGACAACAUCUGACAACUUGACCUCAAAUCGAGUAGGACUACCCGCUGAACUUAAGCAUAUCAAUAUGCGGAGA